This 425-nucleotide ribosomal RNA is filed under the name uncultured bacterium. Its description in RNAcentral is "bacterial SSU rRNA". It matches the Rfam family "Bacterial small subunit ribosomal RNA", at positions 354 to 796 of the family's 1533-position model. The record is from RNAcentral.
GUCGGGAAUUUUGGGCAAUGGGCGAAAGCCUGACCCAGCAACGCCGCGUGAAGGAUGAAGUCUCUCGGGAUGUAAACUUCGUAAGAAUAGGAAGAAUAAAUGACGGUACUAUUUGUAAGGUCCGGCUAACUACGUGCCAGCAGCCGCGGUAAUACGUAGGGACCAAGCGUUGUUCGGAUUUACUGGGCGUAAAGGGCGCGUAGGCGGCGUGGUAAGUCACUUGUGAAAUCUCCGAGCUUAACUCGGAACGGUCAAGUGAUACUGCUGUGCUAGAGUACAGAAGGGGCAAUCGGAAUUCUUGGUGUAGCGGUGAAAUGCGUAGAUAUCAAGAGGAACACCUGAGGUGAAGACGGGUUGCUGGGCUGAUACUGACGCUGAGGCGCGAAAGCUAGGGUAGCAAACGGGAUUAGAAACCCUUGUAGUCC